RNAcentral lists this ribosomal RNA (1556 nucleotides) under Escherichia coli. RNAcentral's name for it is "bacterial SSU rRNA". It matches the Rfam family "Bacterial small subunit ribosomal RNA". The record is from RNAcentral. Lineage: Bacteria; Pseudomonadati; Pseudomonadota; Gammaproteobacteria; Enterobacterales; Enterobacteriaceae.
UUAAAUUGAAGAGUUUGAUCAUGGCUCAGAUUGAACGCUGGCGGCAGGCCUAACACAUGCAAGUCGAACGGUAACAGGAAACAGCUUGCUGCUUCGCUGACGAGUGGCGGACGGGUGAGUAAUGUCUGGGAAACUGCCUGAUGGAGGGGGAUAACUACUGGAAACGGUAGCUAAUACCGCAUAACGUCGCAAGACCAAAGAGGGGGACCUUCGGGCCUCUUGCCAUCGGAUGUGCCCAGAUGGGAUUAGCUUGUUGGUGGGGUAACGGCUCACCAAGGCGACGAUCCCUAGCUGGUCUGAGAGGAUGACCAGCCACACUGGAACUGAGACACGGUCCAGACUCCUACGGGAGGCAGCAGUGGGGAAUAUUGCACAAUGGGCGCAAGCCUGAUGCAGCCAUGCCGCGUGUAUGAAGAAGGCCUUCGGGUUGUAAAGUACUUUCAGCGGGGAGGAAGGGAGUAAAGUUAAUACCUUUGCUCAUUGACGUUACCCGCAGAAGAAGCACCGGCUAACUCCGUGCCAGCAGCCGCGGUAAUACGGAGGGUGCAAGCGUUAAUCGGAAUUACUGGGCGUAAAGCGCACGCAGGCGGUUUGUUAAGUCAGAUGUGAAAUCCCCGGGCUCAACCUGGGAACUGCAUCUGAUACUGGCAAGCUUGAGUCUCGUAGAGGGGGGUAGAAUUCCAGGUGUAGCGGUGAAAUGCGUAGAGAUCUGGAGGAAUACCGGUGGCGAAGGCGGCCCCCUGGACGAAGACUGACGCUCAGGUGCGAAAGCGUGGGGAGCAAACAGGAUUAGAUACCCUGGUAGUCCACGCCGUAAACGAUGUCGACUUGGAGGUUGUGCCCUUGAGGCGUGGCUUCCGGAGCUAACGCGUUAAGUCGACCGCCUGGGGAGUACGGCCGCAAGGUUAAAACUCAAAUGAAUUGACGGGGGCCCGCACAAGCGGUGGAGCAUGUGGUUUAAUUCGAUGCAACGCGAAGAACCUUACCUGGUCUUGACAUCCACGGAAGUUUUCAGAGAUGAGAAUGUGCCUUCGGGAACCGUGAGACAGGUGCUGCAUGGCUGUCGUCAGCUCGUGUUGUGAAAUGUUGGGUUAAGUCCCGCAACGAGCGCAACCCUUAUCCUUUGUUGCCAGCGGUCCGGCCGGGAACUCAAAGGAGACUGCCAGUGAUAAACUGGAGGAAGGUGGGGAUGACGUCAAGUCAUCAUGGCCCUUACGACCAGGGCUACACACGUGCUACAAUGGCGCAUACAAAGAGAAGCGACCUCGCGAGAGCAAGCGGACCUCAUAAAGUGCGUCGUAGUCCGGAUUGGAGUCUGCAACUCGACUCCAUGAAGUCGGAAUCGCUAGUAAUCGUGGAUCAGAAUGCCACGGUGAAUACGUUCCCGGGCCUUGUACACACCGCCCGUCACACCAUGGGAGUGGGUUGCAAAAGAAGUAGGUAGCUUAACCUUCGGGAGGGCGCUUACCACUUUGUGAUUCAUGACUGGGGUGAAGUCGUAACAAGGUAACCGUAGGGGAACCUGCGGUUGGAUCACCUCCUUACCUUAAAGAAGC